CUGAGACAGCCUAAUCCAGAGAGAAGCACCUCUCUCUCACCUUUUGAAGCUGUGAUUUUCCUCAGCACAUCCUUUCAUCGAGGCCUCGUGUUCCUGAGAGGCUGAAAGCUGCUGCUCUAGUUAUUAGAAAAAGAAAUGUUGCAGUCGAGGAUUUGAAGAGUUGAACCCACUGGAAAGGCUGACUUUUUCAUCCUAUUAAAUCGCUGGAAAGGAACAGCCAAACUGCAGGACGCAGAAAAAGACGGGGCGUCCCGGGGGUGAAUAGUGUCACCUAAGUGAAAUACGGAAGCCACAAGUGACCGAAAAGGAAAGGGGGCUUCAAGCCACAGUUGAUUUAUUUCAGAAUUACAGUCCGACAGGCGGACUGGGUGCCACGUCUGAUCAUACGCUCU
RNAcentral lists this long non-coding RNA (392 nucleotides) under Sarcophilus harrisii (Tasmanian devil). RNAcentral's name for it is "lncRNA (ENSSHAG00000030556.1)". Lineage: Eukaryota; Metazoa; Chordata; Mammalia; Dasyuromorphia; Dasyuridae. The record is from RNAcentral.